Limulus polyphemus (Atlantic horseshoe crab) is the source of this 159-nucleotide long non-coding RNA. RefSeq lists it as uncharacterized. NCBI's taxonomy places the organism in Eukaryota, Metazoa, Arthropoda, Merostomata, Xiphosura, Limulidae. The transcript has 3 exons. The record is from RefSeq and is a predicted model, not a curated record.
UGGUGUUGUAGUGAGAAAAAAAGAUGGUAAUCUGAUGGUGCCAUAUCUGGAGAAUAUGAUGGGCGGGGGAGAACUUCUCAAACCCAUCUCCAUAAUCUUGUGUUGCGUCAAACGUGCCAUACGUGGAUGUGCAUUGUCGUGGAGAAGAACACCUUUUCC